GGAGGAUUUCCUCAGAGCUUUUGGGAAGCUAUACGUUCCUGGCCCCGAGGUAAAGCUCCCACAGGCUGCUUGACCCAACAGAGCAGCUCCUACCCACUGGGAUUCUCGGUCUGCAGGAAUCUGGCAUCCACCUGGGAAUCUCAGCCUCUCCCCUAAACCAGAACAGACUCACAGAGUGACCCAGUGGAAGGGGCCUCAGAAGACAUCCAGUUGAGUCUCUUCCGUCACUGAACAGAUGAGGAAACUGAGGCUCAAAGGGAAACGUCCCCAUGGCAGGGAGCAUCUGGCUGAGGCAGCCUGGAGACAGGCACGCACCAGAAGACUUCUGGUUCCAUCCAGGCCCAAGGACCACUGAACUGGAGCGGUCUUCUCCAUCCCCCAGCAAGCCUGUGCGUGAGCUGGGGACAAGGGGCAGAGGAGGCAGAGGUCCCCCUCACACCAGGAAGGGAACAGCGCCACUAAAGGGCCUGGUGGAGGCAGGGUGGAGGUGGAAGGAGACUCAGCAGAAGGGGUGAGUUCUCCAUGUUUACGGAACUGAACACUCCCCAGGCCUCCCACUGCCUCCCACUCCCCAGCCCCCCUCAUCACCCGGAUCUGAAGGAUCAUGUCCACCUAAAUCGAGUUCAGCCUCCACCCUGCCACUCCGCCCCCCAGAGCCUCCUGGACCCUAAUGCCCAGGCCCCCGACACACAUACGGCACUCCCAAGUGAGGUGUGACCAAUGGCGGGAGGUGGUAUCACCCAGUGACAUCAUUUGAGGCCCAAAGAGCUUGCAUACAGGGAGAGGAGGGUCUGAGGGUCCAGGGAAGGAUGUCAUUGGCUCUGAAGCUCCUCUCAAAGAGAAGAAGGGGGAGUGUAGGGGAGGUCCUUCCCCUGUUUUCUCUGCCCAAUCCUUAGCAACCCAAACAGAGGGCCCGAGUACCCUCCCCCUUAGCCCCAGGCCCUAGUGGUUGUAUAAUUCCACAGGCUAUUGAUGUUACAUAAGCCUACUAGGCCAGCCGAGUCUCUGCCCCAGCCCCUCCCCUACAAUUCAGGCCUAAAACUGGAGAAGAGAUGCUUCAUCCGGACCCAUCCAUGCCUGGCCAAAACCAAAACAACAAUUAGAGCAUCUUGAUGCAGAGUUGUCAUAGCAAGCCCCAAGCACAGGGAUGGAGCCAAGACGCCCAGAUGUGGAACAAUGGCAGGGAGUAGGGUGGGGGUUGUUUCCGUGGAGGGUGGGAAAGAUGAGCAUAAAGUGGUUGGGUUUGGGACUGGAGGGUUGGGCCAGAGGGGGUUGCCCGAUAGGCACUGCCCCUCAGGGCUCACCCUGGCACACACAUACCCAUGCACACACAUACAGUCACACCAGACGCCCGGGCUGACUCCUCACGGGGGGCCUGGGUAUCUGUGAGGAGCCUUGUAAUGCUGUAAUGCCAAAGCAGGGGUGGCAGGGUGACAGGGGAGGAGAGGCGCGCCUGCGGGCAGGAAGAGGCCUCGGUCCAUUCCUUGACACCGGCCUUUCGGUCCUCUGACUUCAGCAAGGACCACGGAGGACCUUCAAACUAGGGCCAGGGGAGGAUGCUUUCGUGGUCCAGAGGGCUUGCUGAGGAUGACAGGGAGCCGGGAGCCGGA
This 1610-nucleotide long non-coding RNA is filed under the name Homo sapiens (human). RNAcentral's name for it is "HSALNT0188804". Lineage: Eukaryota; Metazoa; Chordata; Mammalia; Primates; Hominidae. The record is from RNAcentral.